UACGUAGGGGGCUAGCGUUGUCCGGAAUCAUUGGGCGUAAAGCGCGUGUAGGCGGUCCGGUAAGUCCGCUGUGAAAGUCGGGGGCUCAACCCUCGAAUGCCGGCGGAUACUGUCGGGCUAGAAUGCGGAAGAGGCGAGUGGAAUUCCUGGUGUAGCGGUGAAAUGCGCAGAUAUCAGGAGGAACACCAAUUGCGAAGGCAGCUCGCUGGGACGUUACUGACGCUGAGACGCGAAAGCGUGGGGAGCAAACAGG
Molecule: ribosomal RNA, 253 nt
Filed under: uncultured bacterium
Lineage: Bacteria
Description: partial 16S ribosomal RNA
Rfam family: Bacterial small subunit ribosomal RNA
Source: RNAcentral